GCGCCUCUGGCGGCAGCUGGUUCACGGGCGUCUCGAAAAUACUGUCGGGCUCGGCCACGUGCUGGUUCAAGUCCAGCGUGGCGCG
This 85-nucleotide transfer RNA is filed under the name Hydrogenophaga sp. RNAcentral describes it as "tRNA-Ser". The record is from RNAcentral. Lineage: Bacteria; Pseudomonadati; Pseudomonadota; Betaproteobacteria; Burkholderiales; Comamonadaceae.